AUUUAUAGUCAAAACGCCCUGAAGGCAACCAAUCCCAUCAGAUCUUGGAAGCUAUCCAGGGUCAACCUUGGUUAGUACUAGGAUGGAAGACUGCCAAGGAACAUCUGGUCUUAUAGGCU
This 119-nucleotide ribosomal RNA is filed under the name Anolis carolinensis (green anole). The record is from RNAcentral. Lineage: Eukaryota; Metazoa; Chordata; Lepidosauria; Squamata; Anolidae.